AGUUUGUGUUUCAUUUGAAAACUAAACCAAACAUAGUGAGAAGCAAUAUAUCAUCUUUCUUUCAAAUUCAAACAAACAUCAAUGGCGGACAAGGAUAGAAGAAGCAAAUCCAUGGAAUCGAGAAGGAGAAAGAGAACCAGUAGCGAAGAACAUUCAUAUGCUGUUGCUGCUUCUUCUCCAUGGGACAUUGUGGCUCCUUCUCCAGUUCCAAUUAGGGCAUCGGUAAGUUCUUCAACUUCUAAGUAUCCUGCAAAAAAUCACAAUUUUAAUGCUAAAAGUAAUUUUAUAUCUGAAAUAGGUAGUAGAAUAGAUUAUUCACGAACUAGAAAAAAAAUUGUCGGUAAAAACUGGGAGGAUCAUCAACUUUUGAGAUCUGGAGGUUUUAGAGGUAACAAGGUGGAGACGGAGUUUGAUGAUGAUGAAGAGGAACAAAAGGUGAUUCUUCAUGUUCAUGAUAUAAAGCUGCCUCCUUUUUUGGAUGGGAGAGUUGUUUUCACUGAGCAAGCUGAGCUGAUAUUGCCAAUUAAGGAUGCAAUGUCCGAUAUGGCAGUAAUUUCACGAAAAGGGUCAGCUCUUGUUAGGGAAAUACAUGAAAAACAAAAGAGGGAUAAGUCUAGGCAAAGAUUUUGGGAGCUAGCUGGGUCGAAACUCGGAGAUAUUCUAGGUGUGGAGAAGAGUGUUGAUGAGACUGAUGCAGAUACUGUUGUAGUGGGUGAGGAUGGUGAGGUUGAUUUUAAGGGAAAAGCCAGAUUCUCACAGCAUUUAUCUGUCGGUGAUUUUACAAAAUCGAAAACAAUUUCACAGCAACGACAGAAUUUGCCCAUAUUCUCUGUGCAAGAUGAGUUAUUGCAAGUGGUUCGUGAAAAUCAGGUGGUGGUUAUUAUAGGAGAAACUGGUUCUGGAAAAACAACACAGCUAACUCAGUACUUCUAUGAAUAUGGUUAUACAGCUAAUGGGAUCAUAGGUUGCACCCAACCUAGACGUGUGGCAGCGAUGAGUGUUGCCAAAAGAGUUAGUGAGGAAAUGGAAAGUGAGCUCGGGGAUAAAGUUGGAUAUGCUAUUCGUUUCGAAGAUGCCACUGGGCCAAGUACUGUUAUCAAGUACAUGACCGAUGGUGUGCUCUUAAGGGAAACUCUUAAGGAUCCUGAUCUUGAGAAAUAUAGUAUGAUUUUAAUGGAUGAAGCCCAUGAGAGAUCACUUGACACUGAUGUCCUUUUUGGCAUUCUGAAGAAAGUUGUAGCUAGGCGGCGUGAUUUUAAGCUUAUUGUCACUUCUGCCACUCUCAAUGGAGAGAAGUUCUCGAACUUCUUUGGGGGUGUACCAAUAUUUAACAUACCUGGAAGGACUUUUCGAGUUCAAAUAUGUCAUAGUAAAACCCCGUGUGAAGACUAUGUUGAAGCUGCAGUUAAGCAAGCCAUGACCAUCCAUAUUGCUGGUGCACCUGGUGAUAUACUCAUCUUCUUAACUGGUCAGGAUGAGAUUGAAGCAACCUGUUAUGCACUUUCAGAGCGGAUGGAACAACUUAUCUCAUCAACAAAGCAACCAGUACCCAAGUUGUUAAUUCUUCCUAUAUACUCUCAACUGCCUGCUGAUCUGCAAGCAAAAAUUUUCCAUAAAGCUGAAGAUGGGGCUCGCAAAUGCAUUGUUGCUACUAAUAUCGCUGAGACGUCCUUGACCAUUGAUGGAAUUUUCUAUGUCAUUGAUACAGGCUAUGGUAAAAUGAAGGUGUACAAUCCCCAUAUGGGUAUGGAUGCUCUGCAAGUGUUCCCCAUUAGUCGAGCUUCUGCAGACCAACGUGCUGGUCGAGCUGGUAGAACUGGCCCAGGAACUUGUUACCGACUUUAUACAGAGAGUGCUUAUGAGAAUGAAAUGCUGCAAAGCCCCGUGCCAGAGAUUCAACGGACAAAUCUUGGGAAUGUGGUUUUGCUGCUCAAGUCUCUCAAAAUUCAGAACUUGUUGGAUUUUGAUUUUAUGGAUCCACCUCCUCAAGAUAACAUCCUUAACUCCAUGUAUCAGUUGUGGUUACUAGGUGCACUGAAUGAUGUUGGUGAUUUAACGGACCUUGGACGAAAAAUGGUGAAGUUCCCGUUGGACCCUCCCCUUGCCAAAUUGCUCCUGAUGGGGGAACAACUAGAAUGCUUAAACGAGGUUCUGACAAUUGUUUCUAUGCUUUCAGUGCCUUCAGUUUUCUUUCGACCUAAGGAUAGGGAAGCGGAAAGUGAUGCUGCUAGGGAAAAGUUUUUUGUGCCAGAAUCUGAUCACCUUACAUUGCUUAAUGUUUACCAACAAUGGAAAGCUAAUGAAUACAGAGGAGACUGGUGUAAUGACCAUUUUUUACAGGUCAAAGGUCUGUACAAGGCUAGGGAGAUAAGAUCCCAAUUGUUGGACAUCCUCAACACGCUCAAAAUUCCACUCACAUACUGUGGUCCUGAUUGGGAUGUUGUGCGGAAAACAAUCUGUUCCACAUACUUCCAUAAUGCAGCUAUGCUGAAGGGGAUUGAGGAAUAUGUUAAUUGCAGGAAUAAAAUGCCCUAUAACCUGCAUCCCACAAGUGCUCUCUAUGGAUUGGGUUACACUCCUGAUUACGUGGUUUAUCAUGAGGCAAUCUUGACGACAAAGGAGUACAUGCAGUGUGUGACAGCUGUGGAGCCUCAUUGGUUAGCAGAGUUGGGGCCAAUGUUUUUCUCCGUGGGAGCAAAUGUUGAUGUACACACUGAACGAGGCAUCGAGGAACGUCAUGGCAUCGAUGAUAAAGUUGAUGCUCUGAAGAGCAUAAUCAAGAUCAGCGUCAGUAGUUCAAUUAGGUAUCACAUGGUGGUCGAGGGCUCAUUCAACAGUCAAUAGAACUUAAUAUACAGUAAACAUGAUACUGUCUCUUCCAUGCUUGGACGAUUUGUUGGUUCUCGAGUCAAGCAUCUUAAGCUUAGCUACUGCAGCAGAAAGUAGAAUUUCUCCACUUUCCUCUACAAUUACAGCAUCUUUGCCGGUGACUAAUUCCAACAGUACAACUCCAAAGGCAUAAAUGUCCAUCUUUGAAGUCACUGUCCCUCUCUCAGCGUACUCAGGAGCCAUGUAUCCUGUUGUCCCCACAAGCUACCAACUCCUGCCUGAUGUAUCCGUUUCUUUAGCAACACUGAAGUUUGUAAUCUUUGCUCGUAUGUUGUUGUCGAGGAGAAUGUUUCUACUGUUGAUGUUCUUGUGGAUGUAGCCUGGUUUGGUAAAGCUGUGAAGAUAAUGAAGUCCAUUAGCUACAUCCAACGCAAUCUGAAUCCUAUUUUUCCAGCUGAUGGUAUCUUGACACUUGGUUCUGGUCAGCCAUUCCCUGAGAGAGCCAUUUUUCAUGUAUUCAAAGACAAGAAAGAAGCAACCUUUAUGUUCACAAUAGCCACAAAGCUUUAUUAGAUUGAAGUGAUUGAUCUUAUGUAGUAUGUUCACUUCUCUAGAUACAUCCGUGAUCGCCAUUUUGACUGCUAAGAUUUCCCCUUUAAACCCUCCCCAGUAUACAGAUCCCUUUAUCCAGUUCUUGGAGUCAAAGUUUCGCGUAGCGUGCUUCAAUUCUUUGAACUUAAAAACCUUAGGGACAUGAUCUAUGUUCGCGAUCUCCACGAGGAUAUCUUCAUGACUUGAAGACCUCCUCGGAAAUUUGCUAUCUCUUUUCUUAAACAAAGCAAGAAGGAUGACCCAAGAAACCACAAAGCCUGUUGCAACUCCACUACCUAUGUAAAGAUUUCUCUUUGAUUUUCCCUUUGAAGCAUUAGCUGCAGAUGGAGGUGAAAACGACCUAAUAGGUUUUCUAUAAUUCUCAUUUCCGGUAUCUAAAUUUGAUGGUUCAGAAGGCAGGGGAAUUAGAAUGGUUGUAAAAGGAUACAAAACAGAAUUUUCAUCCAAGAAUCCAUUUGCUUCGGUUAUGUUCCUUACAUUAACGUUAAAUCUUUUGCAGACUGUAAGGAUGUCAUCGCCAACGUUUAUUGAAUAAGUCAUCAAAUACUUUGAGCCUUUUGCAGCUUGUUUUGCUGUUGGACAGGCACACCUGAGAGGAACUUGCAACUCAAGACCAGGUCUCAAACUAAACUCAUCGUAUUCAUUUUGACAUACUAAUGCAUUACAGGUUGAUAAUCCUUGAUAAGUAUUAUUUGCUAUCACAAAGUAUGUUUCAAUAACAGCUGAUAUAUAGUACAUGGUUUUGGCUUGAUAAUACAAACCUGAACAAGAGCAGUCCACUGGAAUUAUAACCUCCUUUUCUGGUGCGAACACUGUAAGCCUCGUGACAUUGUUGAUACGUGCAAUCUCAGACAUGUUUGAAGACAUGAGAGCAGCAAUUCCAGACUUCAUUUGAUCCAGAAAUUUGUUUUAAGGAAUAUGUCAUCCUAUCAGAAGACUACAAAGUCAAGUGGGAUUUUUAUUAAAGAAAUCAAUGUAGAUGUGACAAUAAUUCUUGACUAGACUAUGUAAAUAUGAGUCAUUCUAUUAUCAAGAAUUGUUAUUAUUCUUAUGUUCCCAUUCAAGGGGCAUCAAGAGAAUGAAAACAGCAACACGACAACAAUAUUCUCGGUGUAUUUUCACAAGUAGGGAUCGGAAAGGAUAGAAUAUACGCAAUACAGAUCUUACCCCUACGUCAUGGAGAUAGAGAUGAUGUUUUCGAAAGAUCAUUAAACAUAAGAAGAAAUGAGUUUAGAAAUUUUGAUUUAGUAGACGUUUAAUCUACUAUGUGUGUCUCGAAAUGGAGCGAUGUCACAAUUCCACAACUCGACUAAUACAACAUCAUACACAAGGAAAUCACUCAAUUGAUACUUCUAAUUAUUUUCAAAGGAGAUAUUUUACAUCGAA
Solanum pennellii is the source of this 4827-nucleotide RNA transcript. It is a transcript of the gene named pre-mRNA-splicing factor ATP-dependent RNA helicase DEAH7-like, with no coding region annotated. Lineage: Eukaryota; Viridiplantae; Streptophyta; Magnoliopsida; Solanales; Solanaceae. The record is from RefSeq and is a predicted model, not a curated record. The transcript has 5 exons.